CCCUCAAAAUCUAUGCAACAUCUAUAAAGGAACUCGUCAUAUCACAAAUUAAAUUUCAAAUUUAUCUUUUAUAGCUAAUAGCUAGAUAGAAUUAUGUAUUCUACAGGGGAUGAUUUGUUUAAGGGAGCCUUGCAUAAAAAAUACCCACUUUUCUCAAACUCAAUUUAAGAAAUACUCACUUUUUUUUUUAUUUGCUACCACUACAAAAAAUAGUACCGUCCAGAUCUACCGACGACGGCAAAGUAGCCGACCCGGUUUUUUUUAAAUACCGGCCAACUACCGACGGCAAACUGACCGCCAGUGAUUAACGACGGCGGCGCCGCCGGUACUAUAUGUAUUAUUAAUAUUUAAUUAUUUUUUAUUUCUAACGACGGCAUUUGCCGCCGCUAACUAGCGACGGCAAAACGCCGUCGGUAAUGUUGAAUAUUAGGGCGACCCGGACCUUUUUUUCUUUCCCAUUUUCGCGCGCCGCUCAGUAACCCCCCCCCCCCUCCCCCAGCUGCUCCAGAAGCUGCCGCUGCCACUGUCGCCGUUCAGCCACCCCGCUGCUCGUGCCAAGUUCGACGACCCCGUUAAGCUGCCUUCUUCACGACAACCCGCCGGAAACCACCACGCGCUGACUUGACAUGGCUGACCUUAUCAAUCGGCUCAACGACUCAGCUCCAAGCUCAAGACUCAUGUAAUAAGAGCUUAGGCCCAAUUAUUUAAAUUAAUGGGCCUUAGGGGUCAAAUGGGCCCAAGUGCCCUAGUUUUACUCUUAUGGCUAUAAAUAACGCAUUUUAUUAUUAGUUGAGGGGACUUUCAACUCAUUUUCUCACCAUGUAAAUUGUAAACACACAAAGUAUAGUGAAAACCUCAAAAACCCACCGUGGAUGUAAAUCUAACGAUCGAACCACGUAAAUCUUCGAGUCAUUUAUCGCUUUAUAGUUAGGUGUUGAUUUUUGAUUCAUCACCAAGAAUUUUG
Long non-coding RNA from Salvia miltiorrhiza (redroot sage), 964 nucleotides. RefSeq lists it as uncharacterized. Lineage: Eukaryota; Viridiplantae; Streptophyta; Magnoliopsida; Lamiales; Lamiaceae. The record is from RefSeq and is a predicted model, not a curated record. The transcript is spliced from 3 exons.